CCUCACAAAUGGUUAAACACCGUCUCCUUAAUGCUUUCCUCAUGAUGGUGAGUUCUCGUGAUGAUUCUGGAGCUGUAAGAUUGAAUAGAUACUGUCCUGCUUGGUUUUGGACUUGUACUGGGCCUGUGAUCCCAUUUGUGUUACUUUCCUGACAAAUAUCUUCCCUUUGGAUUGAGAAAAUUUACCCAAUGCCUGUACCAUCAUCGUACCUUGAAAAAAAGACCUCCCUUUGAAAUUCAGGGACUCAUAGGCAAAAGGGACUGUAGACUUUUCUCAGAUGAGAUGUUGAACCUUUUACAUUUGUGUUAACGCUGGAAUGAGUUAAGGCUUUUGGCAACUUUUGAAAAGGCAAGAUUGUAUUUUACUCGCUGAGAAGGAUAUGAUAUUCGGGGGAUCAGGGUCAGAAUAAUAUGGUUUGGCUGUGUGUCUCUACCAAAACACAUGGGAAAUUGUAAUUCCAAAUGUUGCAGGUGUGGCCUGGUGGGAGGUGAUUUAUUCCUGUACUUGAGAGGGGUGGAGUUGGAAGUAAACAGAAGUGGGUAACGUUGGAGGAGUAGGUUGGCUGUAGGGUGGUGUGAGGGUGGUGGGUAGUAGGAAGUGGGAGUAGCCUGCUACAGAGGCAGAGGCUCAUGGAAAACCUCUACUAGGGCAGUGCACCUGUGGCUUUGCAGGCUUUAGCCCCCAUGGCUGCUCUCAUGGACUGGGCUGGUGUUGAGUGCCUGUAGCUUUUCCAUACUGAGGGUGGGAGCUUUUGGUGGGUCUAUGACUCUAGGGUCUGGAGGAUGGUGGUAUCCCGCGUGGGGGCUCCAAACCCAUAUUUUCCUUCUGCACUGCCCUAGUAGAGGUUUUCCAAGAGGCUCUGCCUCUGCCUCAGACUUCUGCUUGGAAACACUGGGGGGUGGAUGUGGGGUAUUGGGUGGAUCCUUCACCAAUAGUUAAGCACCAUCUUCUUGAUGCUGAUCUCCUGAUACUGAGUUCUCUUGAGAUCUGGUUGUAUGACAGGAUGUGGCAUCUUUCCUCUGUCUUGCUUCUACUCCUGGAAUAUGAAACAUUUCAUUGCUGCUUGGCCUUCUGGUAUAAAUGGGAGGCUUCCUGAGUCCUCCUGAAAGCAGAAACCACUAUGCUUUCCUUACAGCCUCCAGAACUGUGAGUCAAUUCAACCUCUUUUCUUUAUGUACAUGCAGAAAAUCAAUGCUGUGAAGUGAAGCUAUGAAAUGCCUUCAAGGCCUUUUCCCCAAUCUUUUGGCUGGUAGCACUGGGCUUCUUUGAUGCUAAUAUCUGAAGCCUUCUUGAAGUUUUCCCCAGAUAAUGGACUUUUCUUCUUUUACCACAUUGCCAGGCUGCGACAAAGAUAGCUGAAAAUGUAGAAGCAGGUUCGGAAUUCGGUAAUGGCCAGAGGUUAGAGCGUUUGGAGAGCUUGGAAGAAGACAGGAAGAUGAGGGAAAGUUUGGACCAUUGUAAUGACUUGUUAGUUGUGAUUAAAAGGCUGACAGAAGGAUGGACAGUGAAGGCCAGGCUUAGAAGCUCUCAGAUGAAAAUGAGAAACUUACUGGGAACAGGGGCCAAGGUUUUGUUCUUUUGCCUUAGCAAAGAAUUUGGCUGCACAGUGUCCCUGCUCCGGAGAUCUGGGAAACUUUGAACUUGAGGGUGAAGAUUUAGGGUCUAUCUGGUGGAAUGAACUUCUAAGCAGCAAAGCUCAAGAGUUGUCCUGCCUACGUCGAACAGCCUGUGGUAUUAUGUGUGACCAAAGAAAUGACCUUGAGUUGAAACUUAUAUUUAAAUGAGAAGCAGAGCUUAAUCCUUUGGAAAAUUUGCAACAUGGCAAAGUGGUCAAAAAGAAAAGCUGAAUUUCAGGGAGAAAAUUCCAGAAGCCUUUGGAUAUUUGCAUAAAAAAGGAGCCCAGUGCUAAUAAUUCAAGACAAUGGGAAAAAAGGCCUCGAAGACAUUUCAAAGACCUUUGUAGCAGCCCUUGUUGUCACUGGCCCUGGGGCUUAGGAAAAAAGAAUGUUUUUUCUGGGCCAGCCCUAUGGCCCCACUACUAUGUGCAGCCUCAGGACACUGCUGCCUGCACCCCUACACCUUCAUCUCCAGCUCCAGCCAUGGCUGAAAGAUGCACAGGCACAGCUUGGGUCACUGCUUCAGGGGUGCAAGCUCCAAGCCUUUGUGGCUUCCACAUAGUGUUAAGCCAGCAGGUACACACAGCACAAAACUAGAGGCUUUGGAGCCUUUGUCUAGACUCCAGAGCAUGUAUGGGAAAGCCUGGGUGUCCAGGCAGAAGCUUUUCCAACAGGCAGAGCCUCAUGGUAAACCUCUACUCGGGCAUUGCAGAACAAGCAUAUAGGGUUGGAGCCCCCAUACAGGGAGGCGCCAUUUUCCAGACCCCAGAUUCAUAGACCCACCAACAGCUUGCACUCUUAGUGUUGAAAAGCUAUUGGCACUCAACAGCAGCCCAGCCAUUGAGGGCAGCUUUGGGGAAAGACCCUGCCAUGCCACAGGUGCUGAGCUGCCCAAAGCCUUGGGAGCCCAGCCAUCUCACCACCCUGUGCUCUGGAUGUGAGAUGUAGUUUCAAAAAAGAUUAUUUGGAGCUGUAGGAUAGAAUGAAUGGCCUGCUAGGUUUUUGACUUGCAUGGAGUCUGUAAGUCCCAUCUGUGUUUUGCACUUCUUUCUGGCAAAUUUCUUCUUUUUGUCUGGGAAUGCUUACCCAAUGCCUGGACAAGCAUUAUACCUUGGAAGUAGUUAACUUGCUUUGUAUUUCAGAGGCUCAGGGAUAGAAGGGACUGUAGCCUUGUCUCAGAUGAGACUUUGGGCUUUGGACAUUUGAGUAAAUGCUGGGAUGAGUUAAGACUUUGGGGGGCUGUAGAGAAGGCAUCAUUGUAUCUUGCAGUGUGAGAGGGACAUGAGAUUUGGGGGGCCAGGGGCAGAAUAAUAUGAUUUGGCUCUGUGCCUCUACCAAAACUCAUGUGUAAUUGUAAUGGGGAAUGUUAAAGCUGGGGCUUGGUGGAAGGUGAUUUAUUCAUGGUGGACAGUGGGGGUUGGAAGUGUGGGUGUGAGAAGAAUGGGGGUUCAUGGUGGGGGUGGUCGUGAAACAUGGAGACCGGGGCAGAUCCUUCACAAAUGGUUAAACACUAUCUCCUUAAUCCUGUCUGUGUGAUAGUGAGUUCUCAUGAUAAAUGAAUACUCUCCUGCUGGCUUCUGGGCUUGCACUGGGCCUGUGUCCCAAUUGUGUUAUUUUUCUGGGAAAAUCUUCCCUUUGGAUUGAGAAAGCUUACCCAUCACUGUAACUUGAAAGAAAAGAACUCCCGUUUCCCUUCAGAGACUCAUAGGCAGAAGGGACUGCAGCAUUGUCCUGGAUGAAACUUGAACUUAUUACAUUUGAGUUACUGCUGGAAUGAGUUAAGACUUUUGGAAACUUUUCAAAAGGCACGUUUGUAUUUUGCUCUGUGAGAAGGACAUGAGAUUAGGGGGUCUCAGGGUCAGAAUAAAAUGGUUUGGCUGUGUUUACCUACAAAAACUCAUGGGGAAUUGUGCUCCCGAAUGUUGGAAGUGCAGCCUGGUGGGAGGUGAUUGAACCAUAAAUGGGAGAUUGGUGGGGGUGGAAGGAAAAACAAGUGUGUAGGGUCGGGAGGUGUAGGCUGGCAGUAGGGUGGUGGGAGGGUGGUGGGUAGUAGGAAGGGGGAGUAGCCUCCUGCAGAGGCAGAGGCUCAUGGAAAACCUCUACCAGGGCAGUGCACCUGUGGCUUUGCAGGAUUUAGCCCCAUGGCUGCUCUCAUGGGCUGGUCUGUUCUUGUGUGCCUGUAGCUUUUCCACACUGAGAAUGUGAGGUGUUGGUGGGUCUAUGAAUCUGGGAUCUGGAGGAUGGUGGCCUCCUGCAUGGGGGCUCCAAGCCCAUAUUUUCCUUCUGCACUGCCCUCGUAAGUUUUUGCAAGAGGCUCUGCCUCUGCAACAGGCUUCUGCCUGGAAACAGUGGGGGGUGGGGUGGUGGUAGGGGGUGGAUCUUUCACCAAUGGUUAAACACCAUCUUCUUGAUGCUGACCUUGUGAUACUGAGUUCCAAUGAGAUCUCAUUGUAUAACAGUGUGGAACCUUCUCCUUUCUCUGUCUUGCUCCUACUUCUGCCAUAUAAAAUAGCCCAUUGCUGCUUGGUCUUCUGGUAUGAUUGGGAGGCUUCAUGAUUCCUCCUAGGAGCAGGAGCCUCUAUGAUUCCUUUAAAGCCUGCAGAGCCAUGAGCCAGUUCAACAUCUUUUCUUUAUGAUCUUACAGAAAAUUAGUGCUCUGAAGUGGAGGUAUGAAAUGCCUUCAAGGUCUUUUCCUUCUUGUCUUGGUAAUCAGCUCUCAGCUUCUUUUCAUGCAAAUAUCUGUAGCCUGCAUGAAUUUUCCCCCUGUGAAUGGACUUUUCUUCUUUUACCACACUGACAGGCUGCAACAAAGAGAGCUGAAAAUGUAGAAGCAGGUUGAGAAUUGUCUAACAGCCAGAGGUUGGAGAGUUUGGAGGACUUGGAAGAAGACAGGAAGAUGAGGGAAAGUCUGGACCAUUGUAGAGACUUGUUAAAUAGUUAUAAUUAAAAGGGUGACAGAAGGAUGGACAGUAAAGGCCAGGCUUAGAAGGUCUCAGAUGAAAAUGAGGAGUUUACUGGGAACAGGAGCCAAGGUUACAUUUGUUUUGCUUUAGCAAAGAAUGUCACUGCAUGAUGCCCCUAACCUGGAGAUCUGUGAAACUUUGAACUUGAGGGUGAUGUUUCGGGUGUAUCCGGCAGAAUGAACUUUUGGCAGCAAAGCUCAAGAGGUGUCCUGUCUGUGUCCUGGUCUUCUAUGUGACCAAAUAAAUGACCUCAGUUAGAAACAUAUUUAAAUGAGAAGCAGAGCUUAAAAGUUUGAAAAAUUUGCAGCCUGGUCAAGUGGUCAAAAAGAAAACCUGAUUUUCAGUGGGAAAAUUCAAGACAGCUUCAGAAGCUUGCAUAAAAUGGAGCCCAGUGCUAAUAGCCAAGACAACAGGGAAAAGGCCUUGAAGGCAUUUCAGAGACCUUUGCAGCAGCCCUUGCUGUACAGGCCCUGAAGCCUAGGACAGAAGAAUGGUUUUCUAGGACAGAAUGGUUUCCUGGCCCAGCCCCAUGGUCCCCUGCUGUGUGUAGCCUCAGGACAAUGCUGCCUACAUCCCUGUAGCUCCUGCUGCAGCCAUGGCUGAAAGAUGCACAGGCACAGCUUGGGUCACUGCUUCAGGGGUACAAGAUGCAAGCCUUGGUGGCUUCUACAUAGUGUUAAGCCAGCAGGUGCACAGAGCAAAAGAGGAGAGCCUUGGGAGCCUUCGUCUAGACUCCAGAGCAUGUACAGAAAAACCUGGGUUUCCAGGCAGAAGCUUUUCCAAGAGGCAGACCCUCAUGGGAAAGCUUUUCUAGGGCAUUACAGAAGGAACAUAUAGAGUUGGAACCCCCACACAUGGAGGCACCAUUCUGCAAACCCAGAUUCAUAGACCUACCAACAGCUUGCACCCUCAGUGUGGAAAGCUACAAGUGCUCAACACUAGCCCAGCCCAUGAGGGCAGCUGUGGGGGAAAGACCCUGCAAAGCCACAGGUGCAGAGCUACCCAAGGCCUUGGGAGCCCAGCCAUCACACCCCUGUGUUCUGGAUGUGGGAUUUGGAUUGAAAAGUGAUGAUUUGGAGCUGUACAAUGGAAUGACUGGCCUGCUGGGUUUUUGACUUGCAUCGGAUCUGUAAGUCUCAUCUAUAUUUUGUGCUUCUUUCUGGCAAAGUUUUUUCUUUUGGCUGGGAAUUCAUACCCAAUGCCUGUACAAUCAUUGUACCUUGAAAGUAAUUAACUUACUUUGUAUUUCAGAGGCUCAGAGGCAGAAGGGACUGCAGCCUUGUGUCAGAUAAGACUUUGGGCUUUGGAUACUUCAGUAAAGGCUGGAAUGACUUAAGACUUUGGGGGACUGUAGAGAAGGCAUCAUUGUAUUUUGCAGUGUGUCAAAGAUAUGAGAUUUGGGGGAACUAGGGUCAGAAUAAUACGAUUUGGUUCUGUGUCCCUACCGAUACUCAUGUGGAAUUGUAAUGGGGAAUGUGAAAGUUGGGACCUGGUGGAAGGUGAUUUAAUCAUGGUGAAGCAUGGGGGUUGGAGGUACGGGUGUGGGGAGAAUGGUGGAGAUUAUUUUGGGAGUGGGGUCAAAAGAUGAGGAUGGGGGGUGGAUCCUUCCCAAAUGGUUAAACACUAUCUCCUUAAUGCUGUCUGCAUGAUAGUGAGUUCUCUUGAUGAUUAUGGAGCUUUAAGAUUGAGUGAAUACUGUCCUCCUGGGCUUGGACUUGCAUUUGUGUUAUUUUUCUGGGAAAUUUAUUCCCUUUGGAUUGAGAAAUCUUACCCAAUGCCUGUACUAUCAUUGCACCUUGAAAGAAAAGAAAUCCCUUUUGAAUUCAGGGACUCAUAGGCAGAAGAGAAGGUAGCCUUGUCUCAGAUGAGACUUUGAAGUUUUUACAUUUGGAAUGAGUUAAGACUUCUGGAAAAUUUUGAAAAGGCAUGAUUGUAUUUUGCUCUGUGAGAAAAACAUGAGAUUCUGGGGUAUCAGGGUCAGAAUAAUAUGGUUUGGCUGUGUGUCCCUGUGAAACUCAUGUGGAAUUGUAAUCCCAAAUGCUGAAGGUGGGGCCUAGGGGAGGGGAUUUAAUCAUGGAUGGGAGGGAGUUGGGGGUGGAAGGAGAAAGGGUGGGUAGGGUGGGGAGGAAUGGGUUGGCUGUAGGGUGAUGGGAGGGUGGUGGGUAGUAGGAAGGGGGAGUAACCUGCUGCAGAGGCAGUGGUUCAUGGAAAACCUCUACUAGGACAGUGCACCUGUGACUUUACAGGGUUUAGCCCCUGUGGCUGCUCUCAUGGGGUGGGCUGGUGUUGACUACCCAUACCUUUUUCAAACUGAGGCUGUGAGCUGUUGGUGGGUCUAUGGAUCUGGGGUCUGGAGGUUGGUGGCCAUCUGCGUGGGGGCUCCAAGCCCAUAUUUUCCUUCCACAUUUCCCUAGUAGAGGUUUUCCAAGAGGAUCUGCCUCUGCAUCAGGCUUCUGCCUGGAAACAGUGGGAGUUGGGGGUGGGGGGCAAAUCCUUCACCAAUGGUUAAACACCAUCUUUUUGAUGCUGACCUUGUGAGUUCUCAUGAGAUCUGCUUGUAUAAUAGGGCAUGGCACCUCUUUCCUCUCUCUGUCUUUCUCCUACUCCUGCCACGUGAAUCAUCUCAUUGCCCCUUGACAUUCUGGUAUGAUUGGGAGGCUUCCUGAGUCCUCCCAGAUUCAGAAGCCAGUAUGUUUCCUUACAGCCUGCAGAAUCAUGAGGUUCUUUAUGAUCAUAGAGAAAAUUAGUACUGGGAAGUGGAUGUAUGAAAUGUCUUCAAGGCCUUUUCCCUAUUGUCUUGGGAGUCAGUACUCAGCUUCUUUUCAUUCAAGUAUCUGAGGGCUUCUUGAAUUUUCUCCCUGAAAAUGGACUUGUCUUCCUUUACCACAUUGCCAGGCUGUGACAAAGAUAGCUGAUAAUGUAGAAGCAGGUUCAGAAGGGGGUGGCAGACAGAGAUCAGGAGAGUUUGGAGGGCUUCGAAGACAGGAAAAUGAAGAAAAGUUUGGAUCUUUGUAAAGAAUUGUUAACUACUUGUGAUCAGAAGGCUGACAGGAAAAUGGCCAGUGAAAACCAGACUUGGAAGGUCUCAGAUAAAAAUGAGGAACUUCCUGGGAACAGAAGCCAAGGUUACUUUUAUUUUGCUGUAGCAAAGAACAUGGCUGCAUGGUGACCCUGCCCUGGAGAUCUGUGAAACUUUAAACUUGAGGUUGAUGAUGCAGUGCAUAUCUGGUGGAAUGAACUUCUAGGAAGCAAAGCUCAAGAGGUGUCCUGUCUGCAUUGAACAGCCUGUGCUCUGAUGUGUGACUGAGAAAAUGACCUCUGGAUGGGACUUAUAUUAAAUGAGUCCCAACUCUUAUGUUAAAUGAGAAACAGGACUCAAAAGUUUGGAAAAUUUGCAGCCUGGCCAAGUGGUCAAAAAGAAAAGCUGAUUUUCAGGGGGAAAAUUCAGGAAGGCUUCAGAAACUUGCAUGAAAAGGAGCCCAGUGCUAAUAGCCAAGACAAUAGGGAAAAGCCCUUGACGGCAUUUCGGAGACCUUUGCAGCAGCCCUUGCUAUCACAGGCCCUGGGCCCUAGGAGAGAAGCAUGGUUUCCUGGGCCAGUCCUGUGACCCCGCUCUAUGUGCAGCCUCAGGGCACUGCUGCCUGCGUCCCUGCAGCUCCAGCUCCAGCCAUGGCUGAAAAUGCACAGAUGCAGCUUGGGUCACUGCUUCAGAGGGUGCAAGCUAGAAGCCUUGGUAACUUCCUCAUAGUGUUAAGCCACUAGGUGGAUGGAUCAUGAGACUAGAGGCUUGGGAGCCUUUUUGUAGACUUUGGAAGAUGUAUGGAAAUGCCUGGGUGACCAGACAAAAGCAUCCCAAAAAUGCAGAGCCUCAUAAGAAACUUCUACUAGGGCAGUGCAGAAGGAAAAUAUGGGGUUGGAGCCCCCACACUGGAGGCCACCGUCAUGCAGACCCCAGAUUCAUAGACCCACCAACAGCUUGUACCAUCAGUCAGGAAAAGCUGUAGGCACUCAACACCCGCCCAGUCCAUGGGGGCAGCUGUGGGGCAUAAACCCUGCAAAGCCACAGGUGCAGGGCUGCCCAAGGCCUUCAGAGCCCAGCCCUCAUGUCCCUGUGCCCUGGAUGUGGGACAACGUUUCAAAAAGGGUGAUUUUGGAACUGUAGGAUUGAAUGACUGGCCUUCUGGGUUUGGAGUUUCAUGGGGCCUGUAAGUCCUCUAUGUGUUUUGCUCUUUCUGGCAAAAUUUUUCCUUUCAGUUGAGAAUGCUUACCCAUUGCCUGCACAAGCAUUGUAGCUUGGCAGCAGUUAACUUGCUUUAUAGUUCAGAGGCUUAUGUGCCUAAGGGACUGUAUAGCCUUGUGUCAGAUGAGACUUUAAGCUUUGGACAUUUGUAUAAAUGCUGGAAUGAUACAAGAUUUGGGGGGACUGUAGGGAAGGCAUCAUUGUAUUUUGCAAUGUGAGAAGGACAUGAGAUUUGGGAGCCAGGGACAGAAUAAUAAAGUUAAAGGUGGGGCCUGGUGGAGGGUGAUUUAAUCAUGGUGGAGAGUGUGGGUUGGAAGGUGGGGGGUAGGGAGAAUGAGGGGAUUAUGGUGGGGGUGAGGGGUGAAAAGUGGUGGUGGGAGGUGGAUCCUUCACAAAUGAUUAAACACCAUCUCCUUAUUGCUGUGCUUAUGCUAGUGAGUUCUCUUCGUGAUUUUGGAGCUGUGAGAUUGAAUGGAUACUGGCCUCCUGGGUUUUGGACUUGCAUUGGGUGUGUGGUUCUAUUUGUGGUUUUUUCCUGGGAAAUUUCUUCCCUUUGAAUUGAGAAAGCUUACCCAAUGCCUGUACCAUCAUUGUACCCUGAAAGAAAAGAACAUCCUUUUAAAUUCAGGGACUCAUAGGUGCAAGGGACUGUAGACUUGUCUCAGAUGAGAUGUUGAACUUUUUACAUUUGAGUUAAUGCUGGAAUGAGUUAAGACUUUUGGAAACUUUUGACAAGGCAUGAAUGUAUUUUGCUCUGUGAGAAGGACAUGAGAUUCUGGGGUACCAGGGUCAGAAUAAUAUGGUUUGGCUGUGUUUCUUUACCAAAACUCCUGUGGAAUGUACUCCUUAAUGUUGGAGGUGGGGCCUGGUGGGAGGUGAUGUAAUCAUGGCAGGAGGGGUUUGGGGUUGGAAGGAAAAGGGGUGGGUAGGGUGGGAAGUAGGUUGGCAGUAGGGUGGUGGGAGGGUGGUGGGUAGUAGGAAGGGGGAGUAGUCUGCUUCAGAGGCAGAGGCUCAUGGGAAACCUCUGCUAGGGCAGUGCACCUGCAGCUUUGCAGGCUUCAGCCCCCAUGUCUGCUCUCAUGGGCUAGGCUGGUGUGGAGUGCCUGUAGCUUUUCCAUACUGAGGAUGUGAACUGUUGGUGGGCUUAUGAAUCUGGGGUCUGGAGGAUGGUGACCUCCUGUGUCGGGGCUCCAAGCCCAUGUUUCCCUUCUGCACUGCCAUGGUAGAAGUUUCCCAAGAGGCUCUGCCUCUGCAGGAGGCUUCUGCCUGCAAACAGUGGGUGGUGGUGUGGGUGGUGUUUCCUUCACCAGUGGUUAAUCUUCUUGAUGCUGAUCUCCUGAUAGUGAGUUCUCAUGAGAUCUGGUUGUAUAACAGGAUGUGGCACCUCCUUUCUCUCUCUGUCUUGCUCCUACUCCUGCCAUAUGAAAUAUCUCAUUGUCGCUUGUCCUUCUGGUAUGGUUAUGAGGGCCCUGAUCAGUGUGGGCCUCAUCAGUGGACCUAGUCAGCUGGGACUUGGUCAGUGAGGCCUAUUUAUUGGGGGGUGUGGUCAGCAGGGGUCUGCUUAGAGAGGGUCUCAUUAGGGGGAUCUAGUAGUGGGGUCUUGGUGAGUGGGGACCUAGUGGCAGCCACUUGUUUGGUGUCUGGUCAGUGUAAAACUAGGCUGCAGGACUUUGUCAAUGGAGACCUGGUCAGCUGGGGCUUAGUGGUGGCCUUGUCAGCAUGGGCCGGGUCACUGGUGACCAGCUCAAGGGGUGCUAUUCAUUGGAGGCCUGGUCACAUGGGACCCAGUCAGCAGGGCCUGCUGGCCAUGUCCUCAUCAGUGAGGCCCUUGUCAGUGGGGCCCUGGUCAGCGCAGCCUGGUCAGUGGAACCUAAUCAGUGGCGGCCUGUUCAGAGAGAGCGCAUUCAGUGGUGGCUCUUGUAGCAGUGGUCUGUGGGGUGACCUGGUCAGCAGGGAUCUGAGCAGUGGGUGCCUAUUCAGUGGGGCCUACUCACUAGGGUCACAGUCAGGGGCAUCUUGUCACCUAUGGCCUGGUUAAUAGGGGCCUGGUCAGUGGCAGCCUGUUCCCUGGAGGCCUGGUCAGUGGGGCCUCAUCUAUGGUGCCAGGCAAUGGGGUCAUGAUCAGUGGAACCUGGUCAGUGAGGCCCUGGUCAGUAAGAACCUGGUCAGUGAGGCCCUGGUCAGUAAGGUCCUGGUCAGUGGGGUCCUGGACACUGUUGGCCUAGCAGCAAGGGCCUGGUUAGUGGGGCCUGGUCAUGGGGUUCUAAUCAGUGAGAGUGUGGUCAGGGAGGACCUGAUGUGUGGGAUAUGGCCAGCAGGGACCUGGACCUGGUCAGCAGGGGCUGCUGAGCACUGCUGGGAGAUGUCAGGUGCAAUGCACGUUAUUGAGGGCCCUGUGGACAGUUGGGAUGGCCCAGUAGUGCCCAAAGACCCAGUCAAAACUGGACAAAGCAGGUGUUUCGAUGGACCUGGGAGAUCUUGCUCAGAGAUUCCAACAGGACAAAGGGAAAGGAAGGGCCACAGUGGCCAGAUAGAUGGUCACAGUCUAUGGGCUGCACAGGAUGGAGGAAGCCAGGGAACAGGCAGGGUGGG
This 11411-nucleotide long non-coding RNA is filed under the name Homo sapiens (human). RNAcentral's name for it is "HSALNT0351921". Lineage: Eukaryota; Metazoa; Chordata; Mammalia; Primates; Hominidae. The record is from RNAcentral.